AGCAGCCGCGGUAAUUCCAGCUCCAAUAGCGUAUAUUAAAGUUGCUGCAGUUAAGAAGCUCGUAGUUGAAUUUCGGGGUCAAUAUGUUGGUCGUGCCUUGGUACGUACUAGCUUAUUGAUUUCUCCUUUCUGACGAACCAUGAUGUCAUUAAUUUGGUGUCAUGGGGAAUCAGGACUGUUACUUUGAAAAAAUUAGAGUGUUUAAAGCAGGCUCGCGCUUGAAUACAUUAGCAUGGAAUAAUGAAAUAGGACAUUUGAUUCUAUUUUGUUGGUUUCUAGGAUCGAUGUAAUGAUUAAUAGGGAUAGUUGGGGGCAUUAGUAUUCAAUUGUCAGAGGUGAAAUUCUUGGAUUUAUUGAAGACUAACUACUGCGAAAGCAUUUGCCAAGGAUGUUUUCAUUAAUCAAAAUCGAAAGUUAGGGGAUCGAAGACGAUCAGAUACCGUCGUAGUCUUAACCAUAAACUAUGCCGACUAGGGAUCUGAUAAUGUUAAUUUUUUAAUGACUCA
RNAcentral lists this ribosomal RNA (506 nucleotides) under uncultured Glomus. RNAcentral describes it as "SSU rRNA". It matches the Rfam family "Eukaryotic small subunit ribosomal RNA", at positions 569 to 1081 of the family's 1831-position model. Lineage: Eukaryota; Fungi; Glomeromycota; Glomeromycetes; Glomerales; Glomeraceae. The record is from RNAcentral.